CAAGUCGAACGCGAAAGUCCCCUUCGGGGGGCAAGUAGAGUGGCGCACGGGUGAGUAACACGUAGGUAAUCUACCUUUGGAUUGGGAAUAACCACCGGAAACGGUGGCUAAUACCGAAUAAUGCAGCGGCACCUAAUGGUGACAGUUGUUAAAGCGGGGGAUCGCAAGACCUCGCGUCUGAAGAGGAGCCUGCGGCAGAUUAGCUAGUUGGUAAGGUAACGGCUUACCAAGGCGAUGAUCUGUAGCCGGCCUGAGAGGGCGGUCGGCCACACUGACACUGACAUACGGGUCAGACUCCUACGGGAGGCAGCAGUCGGGAAUUUUGGGCAAUGGGCGAAAGCCUGACCCAGCAACGCCGCGUGAAGGAUGAAAUCCUUCGGGAUGUAAACUUCGCAAGAACGGGAAGAAUAAGUAAGGGUUAAUAUCUCUUACGAUGACGGUACUGUUUGUAAGCUCCGGCUAACUCCGUGCCAGCAGCCGCGGUAAUACGGGGGGAGCAAGCGUUGUUCGGAUUUACUGGGCGUAAAGGGCGCGUAGGCGGCCACCGCAAGUCGACUGUGAAAUCUCCGGGCUUAACCCGGAAAGGUCAGCCGAUACUGCGGGGCUAGAGUGCAGAAGGGGCAACUGGAAUUCUCGGUGUAGCGGUGAAAUGCGUAGAUAUCGAGAGGAACACCUGCGGCGAAGGCGGGUUGCUGGGCUGACACUGACGCUGAGGCGCGAAAGCUAGGGGAGCGAACGGGAUUAGAUACCCCGGUAGUCCUAGCCUUAAACGAUGAAUGCUUGGUGUCUGGGGUUUUAUAGUCCCCGGGUGCC
This 813-nucleotide ribosomal RNA is filed under the name uncultured Actinomycetes bacterium. Its description in RNAcentral is "bacterial SSU rRNA". It matches the Rfam family "Bacterial small subunit ribosomal RNA", at positions 58 to 847 of the family's 1533-position model. Lineage: Bacteria; Bacillati; Actinomycetota; Actinomycetes. The record is from RNAcentral.